This 145-nucleotide microRNA precursor is filed under the name Marmota monax (woodchuck). The record is from RNAcentral. Lineage: Eukaryota; Metazoa; Chordata; Mammalia; Rodentia; Sciuridae.
GGCUGGGGUUGUGGCUCAGUGGUAGAGCACUUGCCUGGCAUGUGUGAGGCUCUGGGUUCGAUCUUUAGUACCACAUAAAAAUAAUAAAUAAAUGGGCUUCGUGCAUGCUAGGCAGGUACUCCACCACUUCACUACACCCCCAGCC